ACGGCCCACCAAGGCGACGAUCAGUAGCCGACCUGAGAGGGUGACCGGCCACAUUGGGACUGAGACACGGCCCAAACUCCUACGGGAGGCAGCAGUGGGGAAUAUUGCGCAAUGGGGGAAACCCUGACGCAGCAACGCCGCGUGAAGGACGAAGGUUUUCGGAUUGUAAACUUCUUUUGUUAGGGACGAAGAAAUGACGGUACCUGACGAAUAAGCUCCGGCUAACUAC
Molecule: ribosomal RNA, 229 nt
Filed under: uncultured bacterium
Lineage: Bacteria
Description: partial 16S ribosomal RNA
Rfam family: Bacterial small subunit ribosomal RNA
Source: RNAcentral